Molecule: ribosomal RNA, 3555 nt
Filed under: Triticum aestivum (bread wheat)
Lineage: Eukaryota; Viridiplantae; Streptophyta; Magnoliopsida; Poales; Poaceae
Description: partial small subunit ribosomal RNA
Source: RNAcentral
CAAUUAACGCACGCGGGCGGGCGGGAGAUGAGCGACUUACGGAAGAAGUAAAGCUUAAAAAAGAAAAGCGAAAGAGCGGGGGAGCAGAGAAGGGGAAGGAUAAAAAGGUCGCCGCCUAUGGAGCCACUCAACCUCUAGACCUCAGUACCGCUAAAACUAACCCUCAAGAGGAAGCUACGAGCGAACUCCCGAACCACCAGUCCGUCGGCCUCAAGAAGAGAGGAGCAGCGACGUAGAGAGGAGACAACGAUAAAGGGAAAGCCAAGGGACAACGAGUCUAGACACCCAACGAGCCCACAAUACUAGACAUCCCAAUACACUACAACACGAAACCCCUAGCUCACAACACUAGACACUACACUACACAACCCGAGAACACUACAAAGGGGAAACCAAUCCGCGGGCACACACAAACGGACUAGCUAAGACAAACGCAGUAUCACUAAGAAGUCAAUCAAGUAAACCUAGGAUCAACAUCGACGAUAAAAAGCAAUCAACCAUAGGACUAAAAACAAAUCAAUAGAGGCCAUCAUCGACAAUUAAAAAUCUAGAUCGUACGAAACCAUGCUCAACUCAAACUAAAACCAGAGACUACACUCCCCAACCAGAGGGUAUCAUGCAACGCGACAACAUAACGAACCUCUUAAUAUCCAGGAGUAUCAUGAACCGGUCGAGUACGACAUCAAAAACGACGACCCAUCAUCAUGCACCACGACAGCAUUAAGAGUAAAAAGAGACAGUACCGUACCAUCUCCCAAGUCAAAGAGGUCACAUUAUCAACUAACGGUAAACAAGAGAUUACAUGAGGUACAUCCGUCCCCACCAUCAAGAUACCCUUAAAAUCCACGAACGGUAAAGAAAAUCAUAAAUGACUUCGAUACGGAGACAUUAAAUUCAACCAAACGGUGACAUAAUAUACUACGAAUAUUGGCAUGAUCGUAACACUAAGAACGAACGAUCAGUAAGAUUAAGUUCACGUAGUCUUGACAUUAAGAUCAUCAAACAAAAAAAAUCUGGCCGUGGCUUACGGAGACAGAAUAAAACAUACAGUGUAUGUGCCGUCCACCAGAGGAUCUAAAUCAAUACAGGUUUAAUUCACCAAAAUAAGUCCAACCUACACUCUUUCGGUGUAGUUACAAGUCCGGCCCAAGCAAGUCAUCGAUCCAAACCAAAUGAUUAACCGGUAACGCUCAACGCUGAUCUCAAUUAGAAUACGAGACAAACCAGCGACCUAAAGAACACGUAAACAAACAAUCACAACCGAACAAAAUAGAGUUUAAACAACAAAUAAUGACUUCUACUUCUAACAACCUGAACUGACUAGAAGACUCAAGAUAAAAAAUAGAUGACUUCUUUUACCGUACGAGGGAAACCAUCCGUUUCGUAUAUUAACACCACACACUUCAACAUUUUACCUUAAUUGCCCUAUUAUUCUUGCUCUUGUACCUUGUCAUGAUCCAUGAACAUAAACACUAAUUUAGCCAACUACACAUACAACUAAGUCAUAUUGUAACAGACAAACACAACUACGAUCGAUACGGUGUUAAUAUAUAGUAUCCAAUACUGACAAAUCAGGACUAAAGGAUCCAAAAAAGGACCAUACAUGACAUUAAAUACAACAGACGGUAACAUUAAAGUUAACAAGUGAAAACAUUUAAAACUAACGAAAAUUACAUUAAGCUCACUAGAUCGAAACAUUAAGGUCACCACAAUACUCACAUCAAGAUCGUGAAAAAAAAGAACCAAAGAUGACAUUAAAAUCCCCUCAAGGUAACAUUUAGCAAACAUUAAAAAACUAAAUAAAGGCGUCACUAUAGAGAUAUAAAACGUCACCGAAUGAUCACAUAAAAAAUAGCUAAUGCUGACAUUAAGGUUACCAAUAUCCCUAGAUCGAGACAUUAAGGUCUCUACAUCGAAACAUUAAGGUCAUCAAAAUCAUAACGACUACUAACAUUAAGGUCAUCAAAAUAAGGACCAAUGAUGACAUUAACAUUCACUCAAGAUAAAGAUAUGGUUACAUUAAGAUCUCUACAUCGAGAAAUAAAGGUUAUCAUAUAACAAAAUCUCACAUCAAAGGUUAUCAUUUAUCAGUCGACAUAAAAUAGUCAUAAAAAUCACAUUAUAGUCUCAAUAAAAUAACACUAAAGUCGAACUUGCACACAUUUACACUCUAACGAGGACUCACAACAAAAGGAUAGUGACCUAACGAGACCUGACGGGAAAAGAAUAGUGAAAUAAAUGAGACAUUUAGAAUCAAAAACGACAAUAAACAUUCACUCUAGUGUCACAAUAACAAUCAUAUUAAAAUCAGAAAAAUGAUAUUCAACAUUCACUUUAAUGUCACGGUUAACAUCACAUUAAAAUCCAAUCAAUGAGAUAGAAACAGUCACAAAAAUGAGAAAUUAAGAAUCACCUAAGAAAAUCACGUUACUGAGGAUUAGAAACUCAAAUGAGCCGUUAAAUAUCACCUAAAGAAUCACAUUAAUGAAAUAUAAACAUCACAUUAAUGACAUAUUAAAAUCACAUUAAUGAGAUAGAGCAGUCAAGAAAAGUGUGACGUUUAACAUCACCUUAAGUGUGACAUUAACUCACACUAUUAGAGACAAAGUAACUAAAUGUGACAUUUAAGAUCACCUUAACAUCACACCACAGUGGUAUUAAAAUAAUUACAUUAAAUAAGGGGAGCGACGCACGAACUCGUCCAACCACCAGUCCACAGGUCGCGAGAGGGUAGUCAACGCGGCGGCGUAGAGGGCCGGCUCCAAAGAAUGGAACUGGCACACGUGAGACCCAACUUAAGAGAAGGACUGUCGUUCGGAUCUUAAGACCAUACCUCUCCAUUGUUUCAAUUCCUAAAGAGCCUUAAUGUAUUCUCGUUGUCAGCAAGCAUACCGUUCUCCGGCAACUUCGCAAAUAGUGGUAGUCAAAUGCGUGUCUUCAGAACACUUUUCAAAAGUACAAGUCAUUGGAUAUCAUAGGGGAAACGGUUAUUCUAAAGUUGUAGUCUUCAAGUACGAGGUCGACAACUAUUACAGAGAAAACGGACAUUUCGACUUUGCCGAAUACGAAGUGCCAAACCUUUACUACAACACGUUGUUUAUCAACCUGAACAAGUCAGAAGUUUACGGCGAUUCGGAGUCUGAAAAGUUCUAACCAGCCUCAGGGAACAAAGUUCUAAAUAUGACCUAAAUGUCACAGGUCACAUUAAGAUUCACCUAAAUGUGACAUUAAGGAUGACCUAAAUGUGACAUUAAGAUACACUUAAAUGUCACAUUAAGAAUGACCUAAAUGUGACAUUAAGGAUGACCUAAACAUCACAGAAUCACCUAAACUUGAUUUUACGAACCACAUUAUAAAUCACUUAAAAUGUUACAAAAUGCCACCUAAGUAUAACCUAAAUGUCACAAAAAGAAUCACCUAAAUGUCGCCAUGAAUAUCACAUUUAGAAUAAUCCUUAUACGUUGAACAUAAGAGUACUCCGGUAUCCAGCUAUAUAUACGUACAUGUCCACACCUUGUAUACGUCCUUUGAGAAAUAUGUUACCCUAUUUAUGUU